GACGAACGCUGGCGGCGUGCUUAACGCAUGCAAGUCGAACGUGGUCCAUGGUGCUUGCACCGGAAGACCGAGUGGCGAACGGGUGAGUAACACGUGAGGAACCCACCCGGACGACCGGGGAUAACCCUCCGAAAGGAGGGCUAAUACCGGAUGUCCUCAUCGGGCCGCAUGACCUGAUGAGGAAAUGGAUUCCGCUCCGGGACGGCCUCGCGGCCUAUCAGCUUGUUGGUGGGGUAACGGCCUACCAAGGCGUCGACGGGUAGCUGGUCUGAGAGGACGGUCAGCCACACUGGGACUGAGACACGGCCCAGACUCCUACGGGAGGCAGCAGCGGGGAAUAUUNCGCAAUGGGCGAAAGCCUGACGCAGCAACGCCGCGUGAGGGAUGAAGGCUCUCGGG
This 399-nucleotide ribosomal RNA is filed under the name uncultured bacterium. RNAcentral describes it as "bacterial SSU rRNA". It matches the Rfam family "Bacterial small subunit ribosomal RNA", at positions 28 to 422 of the family's 1533-position model. The record is from RNAcentral.